This 158-nucleotide ribosomal RNA is filed under the name Chondrus crispus (carragheen). RNAcentral describes it as "5.8S ribosomal RNA". It matches the Rfam family "5.8S ribosomal RNA". From Rfam's summary of the family: 5.8S ribosomal RNA (5.8S rRNA) is a component of the large subunit of the eukaryotic ribosome. It is transcribed by RNA polymerase I as part of the 45S precursor that also contains 18S and 28S rRNA. Functionally, it is thought that 5.8S rRNA may be involved in ribosome translocation. Lineage: Eukaryota; Rhodophyta; Florideophyceae; Gigartinales; Gigartinaceae. The record is from RNAcentral.
ACUCGUGACGGUGGAUGUCUAGGCUCCAGCAACGAUGAAAAACGCAGCAAAAUGCGAUACGUAGUGCGAAUUGCAAAAUCCGGGAAUCAUCAAAUCUUUGAACGCAAGUUGCGCUCGGGGGCAAUCCUGCGAGCAUGUCUGUUUGAGUGUCCGCACAA